UAUGAAGAACGUAGCGAAAUGCGAUAAGUAAUGCGAAUUGCAGAAUUCAGUGAGUCAUCGAAUCUUUGAACGCACAUUGCGCCCUGUGGUAUUCCGCAGGGCAUGCCUGUUCGAGCGUCAUUUCAACCCUCAAGCUCUGCUUGGUGUUGGGCCCUGCCCGCUGCGGCCGGCCCUAAAGACAGUGGCGGUGCCGCCUGGCCCUGAGCGUAGUACAUCUCUCGCUCCAGUGCCCGGUGGUAGCCUGCCAGAACCCCAACUCUCGUGGUUGACCUCGGAUCAGGUAGGGAUACCCGCUGAACUUAAGCAUAUCAAUAAGCGGAGGA
Molecule: unclassified non-coding RNA, 323 nt
Filed under: soil metagenome
Description: partial contains 5.8S ribosomal RNA, internal transcribed spacer 2, and large subunit ribosomal RNA
Rfam family: 5.8S ribosomal RNA (bases 2-120)
Source: RNAcentral